UACGUAGGGUGUGAGCGUUGUCCGGAAUUAUUGGGCGUAAAGAGCUUGUAGGCGGUUUGUCGCGUCUGCUGUGAAAAUCCGGGGCUCAACCCCGGACUUGCAGUGGGUACGGGCAGACUAGAGUGUGGUAGGGGAGACUGGAAUUCCUGGUGUAGCGGUGAAAUGCGCAGAUAUCAGGAGGAACACCAAUGGCGAAGGCAGGUCUCUGGGCAGUUACUGACGCUGAGGAGCGAAAGCAUGGGUAGCGAACAGGAUUAGAUA
This 261-nucleotide ribosomal RNA is filed under the name uncultured prokaryote. RNAcentral describes it as "partial 16S ribosomal RNA". It matches the Rfam family "Bacterial small subunit ribosomal RNA", at positions 524 to 784 of the family's 1533-position model. The record is from RNAcentral.